ACGGGGUGCAGCAGGCGCGAAACCUUUACAAUGCGCGAAAGCGUGAUAAGGGAAUUCCAAGUGCUUAGUUCUACUAAGCUCUUCUGAAGUCCAAAAAGCUUCAGGAAUAAGGGCUGGGCAAGACCCGUGCCAGCCGCCGCGGUAACACGGGCAGCUCUAAUGGUGAUCGCGAAUAUUGAGCCUAAAGCGUCUGUAGCCGGCUUGGUAUGUCCCUAGUGAAAUCUUGCGGCUUAACCGUGAGAAGUGCUAGGGAAACUGCCAGGCUUGAAGUCGGGAUAGGUCGGAGGUAUUUCUGGGGUAGGGGUGAAAUCCUGUGAUCCCAGAAGGACCGUCGGUGGCGAAGGCGUCCGACUAGAACGGACUUGACGGUGAGAGACGAAAGCUGGGGGAGCGACCCGGAUUAGAUACCCGGUUAGUCCCAGCCGUAAAUGAUGCUGGCUUGGUGUUGGCCGUCCUACGAGGUCGGUCAGUGCCGGAGAGAAGUCGUUAAGCCAGCCGCUUGGGAAGUACGGCCGCAAGGCUGAAACCAAUUUUUCCUUCAGGGGAAUUAUUGGCAGUAUACUUAAAGGAAUUGGCGGGGGAGUACUACAAGAGGUGGAGGCUGCGGUUUAAUUGGAUGCAACGCCGUACAUCUCACCAGGAAAGACGGCAGAAUGAUGGUCAGUCCGAAGGGCUUACCUAACAAGCCGAGAGGUGGUGCAUGGCCAGCGCCAGCUCGUGCUGUGAAGUGUCCUGUUAAGUCAG
This 744-nucleotide ribosomal RNA is filed under the name uncultured archaeon. Its description in RNAcentral is "bacterial SSU rRNA". It matches the Rfam family "Archaeal small subunit ribosomal RNA", at positions 325 to 1037 of the family's 1478-position model. The record is from RNAcentral.